Molecule: ribosomal RNA, 403 nt
Filed under: uncultured bacterium
Lineage: Bacteria
Description: partial 16S ribosomal RNA
Rfam family: Bacterial small subunit ribosomal RNA
Source: RNAcentral
GACGAACGCUGGCGGCGUGCCUAAUACAUGCAAGUCGAACGCAGUGGGGACGGGUGAGUAACACGUGGGUAACCUCCCAUCAGAGGGGAUAACACUUGGAAACAGGUGCUAAACCGAUACUGAUGGAUGGACCCGCGGUGCAUUAGCUAGUUGGGGGGGUAACGGCUCACCAAGGCCACGAUGCAUAGCCGAACUGAGGGGGGGAUGUGCCAAACUGGAACUGAGACACGGCCAAGACUCCUACGGGAGGCAGCAGUAGGGAAUAUUCGGCAAUGGACGAAAGUCUGACCGAGCAACGCAGCGUGAGUGAAGAAGGUUUUCGGAUCGUAAAACUCUGUUGUUAGAGAAGCGGUAUCUAACCAGAAAGCCACGGCUAACUACGUGCCAGCCGCCGCGGGAAUAC